RNAcentral lists this ribosomal RNA (449 nucleotides) under uncultured bacterium. RNAcentral describes it as "partial 16S ribosomal RNA". It matches the Rfam family "Bacterial small subunit ribosomal RNA", at positions 29 to 523 of the family's 1533-position model. The record is from RNAcentral.
AGCGAACGCUGGCGGCAGGCUUAACACAUGCAAGUCGAACGGGCACUUCGGUACUAGUGGCAGACGGGUGAGUAACGCGUGGGAACGCGCCUUUCGGUUCGGAAUAAUCCAGGGAAACUUGGACUAAUACCGGAUACGCCCUUCGGGGGAAAGAUUUAUCGCCGAAAGAUCGGCCCGCGUCUGAUUAGCUAGUUGGUGAGGUAAAGGCUCACCAAGGCGACGAUCAGUAGCUGGUCUGAGAGGAUGAGCAGCAACAUUGGGACUGAGACACGGCCCAAACUCCUACGGGAGGCAGCAGUGGGGAAUAUUGGACAAUGGGCGCAAGCCUGAUACAGCCAUGCCGCGUGAGUGAUGAAGGCCUUAGGGUUGUAAAGCUCUUUUGUCCGGGAAGAUAAUGACUGUACCGGAAGAAUAAGCCCCGGCUAACUUCGUGCCAGCCGCCGCCGUAA